RNAcentral lists this ribosomal RNA (182 nucleotides) under uncultured bacterium. RNAcentral describes it as "partial 16S ribosomal RNA". It matches the Rfam family "Bacterial small subunit ribosomal RNA", at positions 1319 to 1500 of the family's 1533-position model. The record is from RNAcentral.
CACGAAGCCGGAAUCGCUAGUAAUCGCAGAUCAGCAUGCUGCGGUGAAUACGUUCCCGGGUCUUGUACACACCGCCCGUCACACCAUGGGAGUCGGAAAUGCCCGAAGUCAGUGGCCCAACCGGAAGGAAGGAGCUGCCGAAGGCAGGUCCGGUGACUGGGGUGAAGUCGUAACAAGGUACC